UGAGCACAUCUAUGUGUAUGUGGCACGGAGGCCAGCAUCUUUAACAAUUUUUGCAUUAAUAAAACAAAUCUUAAGAAUUACGUGCUUUGUUAUUGCUCGUAAACCUACGGUAACGAACAACAUUUUUUCCAUAUUUUCGACUUCUCGCGUACGACCAUCUCGUCCAAGUUGCGCCAUGAAUGUUGGGAACCACUUAGACACACAACUUACAUGGAAGCAAUACACUAAGUCAAUUAUAGACAAAAUACCCAUAAAAAGAAAACAGAUGUACUGGCUAACUAGUCGCAACUCUAAACUCAGCAUGGAAAAUAAACUAAAAAUCUUUAAAACGAUAAUAAACCAAUUUGCACGUACGGAAUACCACUAUGAGGCACAGCAGCAAUGAGUCACAUAAAUAAACUAGAGGCGCCACAAUCGAAGAUACUCGGAACAAUAGCCAACGUCCCAUGAUAUGUCAGAAACGAGGAUAUACGCAAAGACUUAAAAAUGCCAACUAUCAGAGAAGAAAUCGGUAGGGACGCAAAAAAAUAUAAGAAAAGAACGGCAACACAUCCAAAGCAGCUGGCUGUUGAAACGAGCGAAACUCUCAUAAAAAGAAGACUAAAGAGAAAAUACCCCACUGGUCUCACUAAAGAAAUAAAAUAGGCAAACUCGAAGAUGGUAUCCCGCUGGGGGUAAACAUCCACAUGUCAUUUAGCAAUUAAGCUAGAAAAAUUUACCGAAUGUCCAGCUGGACAAAUUAAAUAAUAAUAAUAAAAAAAAAAGAAUGCUGGGACACUCUGUAUAUCGUAGAUGACUCACAGAAUAAGUAGGAAAUAUUCCAAGCUCGUAUAAACCAGCGUUGGACAAAGUUUCACUCGAAUAACGAACGAAGAUGUUCGAAAUGGUUCCCCUGGAUUUCAAUACAGGCUGGCCAAGCCCAUACAUCAGGCGCAUGUCUGCUAUUUCUUCAUUGGAAUAACGCACAUUGGAAUAAUUCACGCUAUUCAUACACAACGCGACGUAUUUCAAUAAUUUCAAUCCGCACUGUUCUCGUGACUCGUACGUACAUAGAUACUGUCGAUAAGAGAUGGCGUUUGUAAAAUUCGACUGCAAUAUUGGCCGAAGGAUAUCAAGUUUUGUUUGUAAACAGUUCGGCAAGAGGAAUCGAGAAACACAACAUACGUCUAUCGAACUGCGAAACCAAAUCCACGUGCUGAAGCCAUUUUUAAACAAAAAAAAAAAAAAAAAAAAAAUCUGGUGAAAAUAAAUGCAAAACGAUGUUGAUACUUUGAGGAAUCAAUUGGAAAUUAAUUGUAUCUAUAAAAUUGAUACGUUCUCAUCAACUUUCCAUUUUUAGAAUAUGAAUAUUUU
Long non-coding RNA from Bombus huntii, 1353 nucleotides. RefSeq lists it as uncharacterized. The record is from RefSeq and is a predicted model, not a curated record. The transcript has 3 exons. Lineage: Eukaryota; Metazoa; Arthropoda; Insecta; Hymenoptera; Apidae.